CAGCCGCCACGGUAAAACGAAGGGUGCAAGCGUUAAUCGGAAUUACUGGGCGUAAAGCGUGCGUAGGCGGUUUGUUAAGUCUGCUGUGAAAUCCCCGGGCUCAACCUGGGAAUGGCAGUGGAUACUGGCAAGCUAGAGUGUGUCAGAGGAUGGUGGAAUUCCCGGUGUAGCGGUGAAAUGCGUAGAGAUCGGGAGGAACAUCAGUGGCGAAGGCGGCCAUCUGGGACAACACUGACGCUGAGGCACGAAAGCGUGGGGAGCAAACAGGAUUAGAUACCCCGCGUAGUCCCUGUCUCUUAUA
RNAcentral lists this ribosomal RNA (301 nucleotides) under uncultured bacterium. RNAcentral's name for it is "partial 16S ribosomal RNA". It matches the Rfam family "Bacterial small subunit ribosomal RNA", at positions 509 to 808 of the family's 1533-position model. The record is from RNAcentral.